UCCUGGCCAGAAACGACAUCAAAACGGUUUCCCAGGACGGCCGCGUCGGGUGCUCUAGAAAAGGAAAGCUGGAAAAACGCCAGCAGCUAACGCCGCAGAAACGCUGCUGUCACAGUUUCUACCUAAGUCGAAGGAAAACAAGUCAAAAGGCUCGUUCAAGUGGCAGUUGCUGUUUUUUUUGGGCCAAGCCAUCGAAUCGGACCACUAUGAGCGACAGAGGAGCCCGGUAAUGAUGAUAGCAUGACGCGUGACGGCGAAAUUCCAGCCAUUUUCAAUCCGAAACGGGUGCGCACUCCUUCCGUGGUGGUCACCGGCGAUUCUUCAACGAAUGGCCCGUACAAUAAUAACAACACUGGCGGAGGAAGCGGAGCGGGAGCCAGUAGCAGCUCAGCAGUCGCUCCGGGAUCGUCUGCCCAAAAUGGCAGUGGCACCGGAGCGACUGGGAGCUGCGGCUUCAGCAACGUGCUCACCUCGAGCAACCCGCAAAUAACCCACCAAGACUCGAUCUCGUCGAGCCAACAGGACCCCAAUGAGGUGAUCAUCAUACCGGCGGACACCCCCACUAGCGCUCCUGGCAGUCAUAAUACAGGUCACCACUUCGGCGGCGGGGACUCGAGCGACACGCAGACGGAGCAGCAACAGGCAAAUGGACAUGCAGAGGAGCCGGAGCUGCGAUUCCGGAAGCUGCAGGCCUGCAAGGAGUCUUGCUGCUCUGAACUGGCCAGAAAGAUGUACUUUGGAGUGUGCGUGACCAUCCUGAUGACCGCCUCGUGGGUGGGAGCCACCCACUGCAUUAAGUACAUGUACAAGUACCGUGCUCCAUACGACGACUUGCUAAAUGAUGACCAGGACACGUCCUCAAGUCGUGCCGAUUUAAGCACAGAGCUGGAGGAUAUACUGGCCAUCAGUGACUCGUCGCUGCACCACGUCGAGGACGCCACCGAGAUGUUCAACAUACCACCGCGCCAGCCGGUAUACUUCAGCGCCCCGUUCUUUGCCGCCUGGUUCUUCACCAACUUCUCGCUGCUCUUUUUUCCCAUCUAUAUUCUGGGAUUGGUCUCCACGCGCAAAUGCGAAAAGCUGAGCGAUAUUCUCGGCGAUGUGCUGCGAGGUUUCCGGGAGCGCGGCUUCACAGUGGGGCGCUUUCUCAAUCGCUGCCUUUGCUUCUGCAUUUUGUGGCUCGUCACCACCUACUUGUAUACCCUCUCCCUGCACGUCCUCUACGCCACGGAUGCCCUGGCCCUCUUUGCCACCAAUGUGGCUUGCGUGUAUCUACUGUCUUGGGUGAUCCUGCAUGAGCAGUUCGUGGGCGUGAGAAUCGUAGCCAUUAUCCUAUGCGACACUGGAAUAGCGUUGCUCGCCUACAUGGAUGGAAUCACGGAAAGCCGAACCCUGAGCGGCGUGGUCCUGGCCACUUUAGCCGGAGCUGGAUAUGCCGUGUUUAGGGUUAUGUUCCGCAAGGUGAUGGGCGAUCCGCCGGUGAGCCAAAUCGCCUUCAUAUUCACCGCCCUCGGCUUUCUCAAUGCCCUGCUGCUGUGGCCCGUGGUGUUGGGUCUCUACCUGACUGGCACGGAAAGCCUCACAUCGGAGAGCAUACCCUGGAACUUGCUGUUUGCGGCGAGCCUCCUGCUUCUCGUUUUCCACGUUCUGAUGCAGUUCAGUGCCGCCGUUACGUACAACAUGUUUGUGACAUUGGGUCUGAUUACCGCUGUUCCCGUUUCUGGUGCACUUGAUGUCAUACUGUAUAGUGCCAACUUUGCGGGCAUGAAGCUGGCCGGAGUUAUUCUGAUUGGCAUCGGAUUUUUCCUCGUUAUGUUCCCCGCCAACUGGCCAGACUAUAUAACGCGAUUGUUGCGAAAGAGCGUUCGUGCCAUACUCCGCUACCAAUGUUGUUGUGAAUUAGCCGAAAUUCGCUAUGCUCAUUCGGUAGGCCAAAAACACAAGCUAAGCCAAAAACCCAAAACCAAAACAAAAAUCAAAAACAAAACCAAAACCAUACCCUUGAUUCAAGACACCAUUAGAUAUAAAUUAGAACUGUAGGCAUCCUAAGAAUUUGUGUUUAUUGAUAUCGAUUCUCCCUGAACUAAACUUUGACUUGAUUAAUGAUGGUUAAUGCUAAUGAUAAGUAACAGAAACUUGGCAGAUUUUUUACUGAAUACAACAACAAAAACUUCUAUGCUAUCUAAUAUAGGUAUAUUAAACACCCAUAUAUAUCCCACAUGCAACAACUACAACACUUUGGCUUCCAACUAUGCGCUCACCCUUGUUGAAAGAAAUAUCUAGACAUGUGUAUCUAACUGUUACUAUAUAUACUUGCCUUAAUGUACACCCAAUUAAUUAACAAUAUACCAAGAUAUACCUCUACACACAUUUUACGAACAUAUAUCUAUAUAUCGUUACCGUUAAAUAAAGCCGUUUUACCGACACUAACUACUUCGGCUGUUGUGCAAUUGGUUAACAAUCCCAUCUCGUUGUUGUUCUUAACGUUAUUUUGGCGCUGCCGUUACCAUAAAUGUAUUCUUAUACUUAUUGUUGUUGAUACUUUUGAUGAUUUCGUUUUGUUUCGGCAUAACAGCAACCUUAUAUAUUCCCAAUAUAUACCUCAGAUGCUGUGGCAUAACCAGUCUAAUGAUCUCAGUGCCAAUCUUUUGUUUUUACCCACUUGUGUAAGAUAUAUCCUCGUAUCUGAAUGUUGGUUGCUGGUGCCGUGGUUCUAUUACUUUAGUAGUUCCCACACCCGAACAAUAUACACCACCCACACACCCUGAAACACUCACACACCCACCUCAACGUACAUAUAUGUAGUUUGAGUUUCGCUGGUGUUGCGAAAGUUUCCAUUUUCAAGAUCCACGCAGAACUCCAAGAAUAUGGAUGCUGGUGAUUAUGAUGAUGUACUCGUAUAAUGAUGAUGAUUUGUUUGGCUGUUUGUUUUGUGACCUCUACUGAAUUGCAGCUUCUUGUAAUUGGGUUAAAACUGUUGACUUGGCCAUUAUCCCUUUUAUGUAAAUAUAUUUUUGGUUAUCUGUUUUUGUUUUCUUAAGCUGUCUGCACAUAGAGAGGAGAGCGCAAGUUACCAUAGAUGUCUUGCAGAUGUUAAAUCGCAGCAUGAACGAAUAUACAAAAGCUGAGGAUUCUAAAUCCCACAUCGACCCAAGUAAUAUCCAUUAUCAUUUUCCCUUUCAACUUUGUAAGGAUGCAACCGGCGAGUGAGAAACCAAAUAAUAACAAUACCCCGACCUUUAAAAAACGAUUAAGUCCUAAAUAAUGAUAUACAUUAAAAUGCAUUCAAAUUGUUAAUGAUUGGCAUGUUUGAACCGACCUUCGUUUUCUCUUCGUUUAUCGUUUCGAAUUGACGGUUUUUCGUUUUCCAAACUGAUCUACUUUUGAGUUAAACCUUUAUUUCUGUGCGAUCUGUCUGUCUAACUUUAAAUUCUUCAAGCUCUACUCUAUGCUAUAUACUCUACCUACUUCUUAUAUAUAUAAAAAACGUGUCGACAUUUCUCAAUUGUCUUUUUGCAGAAGCAUCAUAAUGCUGGGUCACAAUGCGAGCGGUAGGCCAGCGCUUUGUAAACGAGAUGCUAUAGUCACGGGACCGUCCACCAGAUAUGCGCAGCGGCACAUCACGCGCACGCACCAUAUAAGC
RNA transcript from Drosophila eugracilis, 3643 nucleotides. It is a transcript of the gene named putative thiamine transporter SLC35F3, with no coding region annotated. The transcript has 10 exons. The record is from RefSeq and is a predicted model, not a curated record. Lineage: Eukaryota; Metazoa; Arthropoda; Insecta; Diptera; Drosophilidae.